RNAcentral lists this microRNA precursor (78 nucleotides) under Schistosoma curassoni. RNAcentral's name for it is "mir-3492 microRNA precursor family". It matches the Rfam family "mir-3492 microRNA precursor family". Lineage: Eukaryota; Metazoa; Platyhelminthes; Trematoda; Strigeidida; Schistosomatidae. The record is from Rfam by way of RNAcentral.
AGUCUUCUGUAUCCGUGCUGAGAUUUCGUCACACAUCAGACCACAAAAGCUGAUGGGACUCCCAAAAUAAGUAAAGCG